Molecule: non-coding RNA, 754 nt
Filed under: Pongo abelii (Sumatran orangutan)
Lineage: Eukaryota; Metazoa; Chordata; Mammalia; Primates; Hominidae
Source: RNAcentral
AGAAGCAGGACUGUGAUCUGGGUGGGUGACAGCCUGGGUGAGGAGAGACUCCCACACAGGAGUCAUCAGCCACAGCAUUCACUGUGCAGAACCUCAAAACGUGUCCCAUGAUCCCUCUGAAUUGACCAUAAAGUUGGACCCAUCAAGUCCGCUUCCUUAGACUCAGAGCGCCUAUAGCACAUAUACGCACGAUCUCCAAGGAGAAGUAUACAGUAUUAGAUGAGUUCAGCUUACCUUUCGGCCAUUAACAAUUAAUUCAUGCUGCCAUUGUGUUUUUAUAAAAAAGACUUUCUUUUCCACCUCUCUCCCAUUCAUCAUGUUCCAUAGAGCUCAGCUUUGUGAUCAGGAAACCGAUUGUAAAGUCCAGAAUGAGGACACGGGCUCUACAUGGUGUGGAAUGGCAGUGAGACAGGCUAGGACUUCAGAACUCAACUGAUCACACGCAGUAGGGAGAAGAACAACCAAGCUGGGCUUCAAGAUGCCUUAUUUGGACACUAGUUUUUGAUGUGUCUCUGAUGGUUAUUAACCAGACAUUUCAAGGGCAAGAAACUAUUUCCCAAAAACUACCUUUUGAGACAUUUCCAGAGGCUGCCCUGUCCUCUCUAUCCAGAGACUCAACCCCGACUCACCUCCUCUAGGAAGUCUCCCACAUGGGCCUCGCUCUGCUCCCUCCUCCUCACGGCUGACCCUGCUGGGUCGUCCUGCCAGCUUGGACACUUGUUUGUUGUGGCUUUUGUAAAAUACUCUGUAGUCA